Molecule: ribosomal RNA, 468 nt
Filed under: uncultured bacterium
Lineage: Bacteria
Description: partial 16S ribosomal RNA
Rfam family: Bacterial small subunit ribosomal RNA
Source: RNAcentral
GACGAACGCUGGCGGCGUGCUUAACACAUGCAAGUCGAACGGAAAGGCCCUGCUUUUGUGGGGUGCUCGAGUGGCGAACGGGUGAGUAACACGUGAGUAACCUGCCCUUGACUUUGGGAUAACUUCAGGAAACUGGGGCUAAUACCGGAUAGGAGCUCCUGCUGCAUGGUGGGGGUUGGAAAGUUUCGGCGGUUGGGGAUGGACUCGCGGCUUAUCAGCUUGUUGGUGGGGUAGUGGCUUACCAAGGCUUUGACGGGUAGCCGGCCUGAGAGGGUGACCGGCCACCUUGGGUCUGAGAUACAGCCCCGACUCCUACGGGAGGCAGCAGUGGGGAAUAUUGCACAAUGGGCGGAAGCCUGAUGCAGCAACGCCGCGUGCGGGAUGACGGCCUUCGGGUUGUAAACCGCUUUCGCCUGUGACGAAGCGUGAGUGUCGGUACUGGGUACAGAAGCACCGGCUAACUACGUG